This is a long non-coding RNA of Labeo rohita (rohu), 251 nucleotides long. RefSeq lists it as uncharacterized. The record is from RefSeq and is a predicted model, not a curated record. NCBI's taxonomy places the organism in Eukaryota, Metazoa, Chordata, Actinopteri, Cypriniformes, Cyprinidae. The transcript is spliced from 3 exons.
GCAGACCUCCUGUUGAAGAGCAUCUCCAAUGUGCUAUGAACCAUCUGACUAGAAAGCCGUCUCGUUUAACUCAUUGAGGACACUUGGUAUACAGCAACCUACAGAGGGGCCCAAUGGCAGUUUGUGAAGACAGACAAACAAGAGAUGCUGUGUCAACCUGGACAGAAGUCUGUUUCAGAUCCACCUUCCACACCAGAUUCUCAUAUGGAUUGCUGUCUACUAGCAUAUUAUUUGUUCUCCUCAGAAUUUAG